This 253-nucleotide ribosomal RNA is filed under the name uncultured bacterium. Its description in RNAcentral is "partial 16S ribosomal RNA". It matches the Rfam family "Bacterial small subunit ribosomal RNA", at positions 524 to 776 of the family's 1533-position model. The record is from RNAcentral.
UACGAAGGGGGCUAGCGUUGUUCGGAAUUACUGGGCGUAAAGCGCGCGUAGGCGGUUUUUCAAGUCGGUGGUGAAAGCCCGGAGCUCAACUCCGGAACUGCCAUUGAAACUGUAAAACUUGAGGACGAGAGAGGUGAGUGGAAUUCCCAGUGUAGAGGUGAAAUUCGUAGAUAUUGGGAAGAACACCGGUGGCGAAGGCGGCGCACUGGGUCGUAACUGACGCUCAGGCGCGACAGCGUGGGGAGCAAACAGG